This 438-nucleotide ribosomal RNA is filed under the name uncultured bacterium. RNAcentral's name for it is "bacterial SSU rRNA". It matches the Rfam family "Bacterial small subunit ribosomal RNA", at positions 969 to 1411 of the family's 1533-position model. The record is from RNAcentral.
CCUUACCUACCCUUGACAUGUCAAGAAUUCUGCAGAGAUGUGGAAGUGCUCGAAAGAGAACUUGAACACAGGUGCUGCAUGGCCGUCGUCAGCUCGUGUCGUGAGAUGUUGGGUUAAGUCCCGCAACGAGCGCAACCCUUGUCAUUAGUUGCUACGCAAGAGCACUCUAAUGAGACUGCCGGUGACAAACCGGAGGAAGGUGGGGAUGACGUCAGGUCCUCAUGGCCCUUAUGGGUAGGGCUACACACGUCAUACAAUGGCCGGUACAGAGGGCUGCCAACCCGCGAGGGGGAGCCAAUCCCAGAAAACCGGUCGUAGUCCGGAUCGUAGUCUGCAACUCGACUGCGUGAAGUCGGAAUCGCUAGUAAUCGCGGAUCAGCUUGCCGCGGUGAAUACGUUCCCGGGUCUUGUACACACCGCCCGUCACACCAUGGGAGC